GGAAGCUGAUGUAGAAAACCUCACAAUCUCUGAACAGGCAGAGGGCUCCCUGCCAAGGCCGCCGCUACCAAACUUGGCCGGAGAGGGUCCACUCAGCGAUUUCUCAGGUGGAAAUGUAAAAUUUUCUGAUGUAAGAGAGAUGUUUUGAGAAUGAGUGGAAUUUGGAUUUCCGUUGUGACUGAUGAAAGAGAAGUGUGGAGACAACCUCAGAAUAUAGUUCGAAUUAAACAGUUUGGUAGAAUGGCAGAAUAAACAAAAAAACAGCUAAUUGUAAACUAUAUGCUAAUUUAUUCAAGCUUUUAUGUUUGUUGAGAAAGUCAUGUUUCUAGUUGCUAUGAUUUUAGGUACUAUUUGGUAGAAGGGAAUCAAGGAGCCGAUCAAUUAGCAAUUGAACAAUUCUAGUGGAGAAGAUGUAGCUACAUCAAUGGUCGGAGUGGAGAAAAGAGUACCUGUUUGACUUCUAGUGGAGAACCGAGGUGUGUCCAUAGGAGGGUAUGUCCCGGCUAUGAUUGACCGAAGACGAUGGAUCGGCGACGAUUGACCGGCAACGAUUGACUGGCGACGUUGGACCGGCGACGCUGGUGCCGAAUCGCCGAUGGUUGAUAUGUCGAUUUAGGGCAAAGAGGAGAGAUGUGGUGACUAGAGAGGCGCGGUGACUUUGAGUUUGAACAUUACGAUGAAAACAGUAAAAGGACAUCUCAACUUUUUCCCCAAUUCAGUAAAAGAUAAAAGGGGCAAGAAUAAUUUUAGGUCGUCUAUAUUGAGAAGGGUAGUAUGGUAAAUAUGUUUGAUGAGAAGGUUUUGGUUAGUUGUGGAGUGUACAGGGACUUAAAUAAAGACUUCAAAUAAAAUGAGUCUUUGGAAAAAUAUGUUGGUAAAUAAAAUAGGGAAAGCUCCGGUCAUUUUCAAAAAUAAAAAAAUAUAUAUUAAUUAAUGACAACAAUUAAUAGUCACUAACUAUUUUUCGGUUUGUAAAUCAGUCGUCACAGUUUAACUGCGUAUGGUUUAGAAUAAGAAAGAGUAAUUAGUGACCAUUAUUUUUGGUCACUCAACCUUAAAUAAAGUGACCCUUAUUUUUGGUCACUAGCCUCUAACACAGUGACCAUUUUUU
Molecule: long non-coding RNA, 1111 nt
Filed under: Lactuca sativa (garden lettuce)
Lineage: Eukaryota; Viridiplantae; Streptophyta; Magnoliopsida; Asterales; Asteraceae
Description: long non-coding RNA (LSAT_LNC001389)
Source: RNAcentral